This 464-nucleotide ribosomal RNA is filed under the name uncultured bacterium. RNAcentral's name for it is "partial 16S ribosomal RNA". It matches the Rfam family "Bacterial small subunit ribosomal RNA", at positions 28 to 507 of the family's 1533-position model. The record is from RNAcentral.
GACGAACGCUGGCGGCGUGCUUAACACAUGCAAGUCGAACGGAAGGGCCCUGCUUGCAGGGUACUCGAGUGGCGAACGGGUGAGUAACACGUGGGUGAUCUGCCCUGCACUUCGGGAUAAGCCUGGGAAACUGGGUCUAAUACCGGAUAGGAGCCAUUUUUAGUGUGAUGGUUGGAAAGUUUUUUCGGUGUAGGAUGAGCUCGCGGCCUAUCAGCUUGUUGGUGGGGUAAUGGCCUACCAAGGCGGCGACGGGUAGCCGGCCUGAGAGGGUGGACGGCCACAUUGGGACUGAGAUACGGCCCAGACUCCUACGGGAGGCAGCAGUGGGGAAUAUUGCACAAUGGGCGCAAGCCUGAUGCAGCGACGCCGCGUGGGGGAUGACGGCCUUCGGGUUGUAAACUCCUUUCGCUAGGGACGAAGCUUUUGUGACGGUACCUAGAUAAGAAGCACCGGCUAACUACGUG